CAGCAGCCACGGGAAUACGUAGGUGGCAAGCGUUGUCCGGAAUUAUUGGGCGUAAAGCGCGCGCAGGUGGUUUAAUAAGUCUGAUGUGAAAGCCCACGGCUCAACCGUGGAGGGUCAUUGGAAACUGUUAAACUUGAGUGCAGGAGAGAAAAGUGGAAUUCCUAGUGUAGCGGUGAAAUGCGUAGAGAUUAGGAGGAACACCAGUGGCGAAGGCGGCUUUUUGGCCUGUAACUGACACUGAGGCGCGAAAGCGUGGGGAGCAAACAGGAUUAGAUACCCGCGUAGUCCCUGUCUCUUAUAA
Molecule: ribosomal RNA, 301 nt
Filed under: uncultured bacterium
Lineage: Bacteria
Description: partial 16S ribosomal RNA
Rfam family: Bacterial small subunit ribosomal RNA
Source: RNAcentral